GACGAACGCUGGCGGCGUGCUUAACGCAUGCAAGUCGAACGGAAAGGCCCCUUUGGGGGUACUCGAGUGGCGAACGGGUGCGUAACACGUGAGUAACCUGCCCUUGACUUCGGGAUAACUUCAGGAAACUGGGGCUAAUACCGGAUAGGAAUCCUUGCUGCAUGGUGGGGGUUGGAAAGCUUCGGCGGUUUUGGAUGGACUCGCGGCUUAUCAGCUUGUUGGUGGGGUAGUGGCUUACCAAGGCUUUGACGGGUAGCCGGCCUGAGAGGGCGACCGGCCACAUUGGGACUGAGAUACGGCCCAGACUCCUACGGGAGGCAGCAGGGGGGAAUAUUGCACAAUGGGCGGAAGCCUGAUGCAGCAACGCCGCGGGCGGGAGGACGGCCUUCGGGCUGUAAACCGCUUUCAGCAGGGGCGAAGCUUGUGGUGACGGUACCUGCAGAAGAAGCACCGGCUAACUACGUG
Molecule: ribosomal RNA, 465 nt
Filed under: uncultured bacterium
Lineage: Bacteria
Description: partial 16S ribosomal RNA
Rfam family: Bacterial small subunit ribosomal RNA
Source: RNAcentral